UACGUAGGGUGCGAGCGUUAAUCGGAAUUACUGGGCGUAAAGCGUGCGCAGGCGGUUUUGUAAGCCAGAUGUGAAAGCCCCGGGCUUAACCUGGGAAUGGCAUUUGGGACUGCAAGGCUUGAGUGUGGCAGAGGGAGGUGGAAUUCCACGUGUAGCGGUGGAAAUGCGUAGAUAAUGCGGAGGAACACCGAUGGCGAAGGCAAUC
This 205-nucleotide ribosomal RNA is filed under the name uncultured bacterium. RNAcentral describes it as "partial 16S ribosomal RNA". It matches the Rfam family "Bacterial small subunit ribosomal RNA", at positions 524 to 726 of the family's 1533-position model. The record is from RNAcentral.